This 253-nucleotide ribosomal RNA is filed under the name uncultured bacterium. RNAcentral's name for it is "partial 16S ribosomal RNA". It matches the Rfam family "Bacterial small subunit ribosomal RNA", at positions 524 to 776 of the family's 1533-position model. The record is from RNAcentral.
UACGUAGGGGGCUAGCGUUGUCCGGAAUCAUUGGGCGUAAAGCGCGUGUAGGCGGUCCGGUAAGUCCGCUGUGAAAGCCAGGGGCUCAACCCUUGGAUGCCGGUGGAUACUGUCGGGCUUGAGUACGGAAGAGGCGAGUGGAAUUCCUGGUGUAGCGGUGAAAUGCGUAGAUAUCGGGAGGAACACCAGUGGCGAAGGCGACUACCUGGCCUGUUCUUGACGCUGAGGCGCGAAAGCUAGGGGAGCAAACGGG